AACGCACCUUGCGCUCCUUGGUAUUCCGAGGAGCAUGCCUGUUUGAGUGUCAUUAAAUUCUCAACCUAACACCUGUUUUUCAAUGGGUUUUGUUAGGCUUGGAUAUGGGGGCUUGCAGGUCCGCUCUUUUGUGGUCUGCUCCUCUGAAAUGCAUUAGUGGGUUUGUGCCCCUCAUCUAUUGGUGUGAUAAUUAUCUACGCCGUGGGUGAUGGAUUGGCCAUCAAUGAACCUGCUCAUAACCGUCCGUCUCGGACAACUUUGAUCAUUUUGACCUCAAAUCAGGUAAGACUACCCGCUGAACUUAA
This 305-nucleotide unclassified non-coding RNA is filed under the name Coprinopsis sp. RNAcentral's name for it is "partial contains 5.8S ribosomal RNA, internal transcribed spacer 2, and large subunit ribosomal RNA". The stretch from base 1 to 52 matches the Rfam family "5.8S ribosomal RNA", at positions 103 to 154 of the family's 154-position model. The record is from RNAcentral. Lineage: Eukaryota; Fungi; Basidiomycota; Agaricomycetes; Agaricales; Psathyrellaceae. RNAcentral also lists the same sequence under 1 other name.